RNAcentral lists this ribosomal RNA (515 nucleotides) under uncultured bacterium. RNAcentral's name for it is "partial 16S ribosomal RNA". It matches the Rfam family "Bacterial small subunit ribosomal RNA", at positions 28 to 523 of the family's 1533-position model. The record is from RNAcentral.
GAUGAACGCUGGCGGCGUGCCUAAUACAUGCAAGUCGAGCGAAUGGAUUAAGAGCUUGCUCUUAUGAAGUUAGCGGCGGACGGGUGAGUAACACGUGGGUAACCCGCCCAUAAGACUGGGAUAACUCCGGGAAACCGGGGCUAAUACCGGAUAACAUUUUGAACCGCAUGGUUCGAAAUUGAAAGGCGGCUUCGGCUGUCACUUAUGGAUGGACCCGCGUCGCAUUAGCUAGUUGGUGAGGUAACGGCACACCAAGGCAACGAUGCGUAGCCGACCUGAGAGGGUGAUCGGCCACACUGGGACUGAGACACGGCCCAGACUCCUACGGGAGGCAGCAGUAGGGAAUCUUCCGCAAUGGACGAAAGUCUGACGGAGCAACGCCGCGUGAGUGAUGAAGGCUUUCGGGUCGUAAAACUCUGUUGUUAGGGAAGAACAAGUGCUAGUUGAAUAAGCUGGCACCUUGACGGUACCUAACCAGAAAGCCACGGCUAACUACGUGCCAGCAGCCGCCGUAA